UGAGAAAGGAAUUCUAAGCAUGGGACAAAUGGAAGAAUCUGCAAUUAUAAUAAUAGUAGAACUGUUAUAUGCUAUAUCCUGGACCAAUCAAUACAAGAAUAAAAUUGGAAAAAAGGUUAAUAAAAAUAUGGAGAGACUCUGAUGGCCAUUCAACUGGAUGCAUAUCAGUCAUGAAGGUUACAAAGAACAUAGACUGGGGGAAAAAAAGAGAGCCUCCUGGAAGGAAGAAUUUUAAGCUUCUUAGGCCAUGAUAAGACAUGGCGUGAAGCAGAGGUGCUCAGUUCAGAGUAGAGCGGAAGAGGAGCUGGUCACAUCAGUGUGGAAGUUAGGCAAAAAUGGAGCACUGCUGAAGAGAAGUCCUAUAAGCUUCAGAAAAUUCUAAUAAACACAGAAAUGUAUCUGCCUGUAGUUGCC
Molecule: long non-coding RNA, 414 nt
Filed under: Numida meleagris (helmeted guineafowl)
Lineage: Eukaryota; Metazoa; Chordata; Aves; Galliformes; Numididae
Description: lncRNA (ENSNMEG00000019257.1)
Source: RNAcentral